Molecule: ribosomal RNA, 478 nt
Filed under: uncultured Nostoc sp.
Lineage: Bacteria; Bacillati; Cyanobacteriota; Cyanophyceae; Nostocales; Nostocaceae
Description: bacterial SSU rRNA
Rfam family: Bacterial small subunit ribosomal RNA
Source: RNAcentral
CGGAGUUCAGUGGCGGACGGGUGAGUAACGCGUGAGAAUCUAGCUACAGGUUGGGGACAACCACUGGAAACGGUGGCUAAUACCGAAUAAGCCGAAAGGUGAAAGAUUAAUUGCCUGGAGAUGAGCUCGCGUCUGAUUAGCUAGUUGGUAGGGUAAAGGCCUACCAAGGCAUCGAUCAGUAGCUGGUCUGAGAGGACGAUCAGCCACACUGGGACUGAGACACGGCCCAGACUCCUACGGGAGGCAGCAGUGGGGAAUUUUCCGCAAUGGGCGAAAGCCUGACGAAGCAAUACCGCGUGAGGGAGGAAGGCUCUUGGGUCGUAAACCUCUUUUCUCAGGGAAGAACAAAAUGACGGUACCUGAGGAAUAAGCAUCGGCUAACUCCGUGCCAGCAGCCGCGGUAAUACGGAGGAUGCAAGCGUUAUCCGGAAUGAUUGGGCGUAAAGCGUCCGCAGGUGGCAGUGUAAGUCUGCUGUCA